UCUCUUUUUUUNAAAAAAAACUGUCCAUAUGCUGNGAUCAUCAGCAGGGCCCUCCUGCGGUGGGGUGAUGGGGAGGAGUCCGGUGGGGGGGCUCGUGCUUUGCCCUUGAUUAUUGCUCCAAACUGCACCUUGAUGUCCGCUGCAGAUCAUUACNGUGCAGUUUGGCACCGUCGCCUGGAGCCGGGCAUCCCUUGCCGCCGUCCGCACGCUGCCCGAACGCCUGAGCUGCUCCUGCCGUGGCCACCCUGCUUGCCUUGCUUCGGCUGGGAGAAAGAAUUGCGGGAGCACCGUUCACUUGGAAAAUUCCUUCCAGAGAGCCCUUUACGCAGAUGGCGAGACUUUUCGGCCUUUGGGAAGGCUUUUAAACUUUCCUAUUCCAUCCCAAGUCAUAAUUUAUGCAAAGGAACACAGAAAACUGUUAACAAGUUUGGCUCAAGUCUAUGUCAGAAAAUGAUCCAGAAGUGGAGUUAACAGGAGGACGAANUCAGAGCGAUAAGUAAAAAGAAGCAAAACCCUUGCCUGCAGACCAGUGGGCAAAUGACCAGGNUUGGAGAAAGAGCUGGAUCAGGAGUUGAAGAGCUGAAGAGUUGGGUCUGAAUCAGAGAAACUCUGGUUAUGUUGCUUCAACAAAAGUGGUUCUAACUGAGGCAACAACAAGGGCAGCAGCACGGGGAUCUGAUGGUUUUGAUGGCACAAAAAGUCGCAAUAGAAGGUUUAUGGAGAAGAAUGGUCUACCUAUGUGAACAUGAGCAAGGAUAGCCCAGAAAAUGCCAGAACAGUAUGAAAAUCAGUGGUGUAAUUUCAGAUUUGUUAAUCAAUGCCAGAAAGACCUUGGCCAAACUGUCUGUACAGAUGAAGUGUUUUUAACAUUUUUUGUAACUUGAAUAAGUGGGUUGAUUUUAAAUGUGCAAAAAUAGUAACUGCUGCAUCAUCAGGCCACAAGACGGCACACUGUACUGCUGUUUUAUCUUGUUUAGGUUUUAUCUGUCUUAUAUUCAGAAGAAAAAUGCUGUCAAAGCAAAAAUUCCACCAGGUAUUUUUGCUCACGUUCAUUGUAAAGGGUGGAUGAAUGAAGAUGGAAUGAAAUGAAAGGUUGGAAAACAAGCUGGUCAUAGUAGCUUGGUGCCCUCCUCAAGAAUCCAACCUUACUGGUGUGUGGGACCAGUGAACACUGACUGCUGAAUUUCCAGCUGGACUUUUGCAUCGGUUACAGGCACUGGAUGUUUCUGUUAACAAACUCUUUAAAGCCUCCUCACGUACACAGUGGUGGAGUGGCACACAAUAUGCUUGAAAGCCCACUGGCUGGAUGAGGAACCCAUCAGCUGCUCAGGCACGUCAGUGGAUGGCAACUGCUGGAGGUGCUGCAAAGGCCAAGGCAGUUGUUAGGUCAUUUAAGAAACGUGGCAUCAGCACAGAGGAGGACAGUGACAGUCUACCAUUAGUAGGAGCCACGAGAGGAUGACACCAGUGAUCAAUUUUCAGGUUCUGAACAUAAAUCAAACCUUGCUGCCUUGCCUUUACUAUCCAUUGUUCUUUGAAACUGUAUUUUUUGGUUUUACAUGGUGGGUUGUUUUUUUNAAAAAAAGAAUAAAUUAACUGUAAUGUGAUAGUGCA
Long non-coding RNA from Salvator merianae (Argentine black and white tegu), 1614 nucleotides. The record is from Ensembl. Lineage: Eukaryota; Metazoa; Chordata; Lepidosauria; Squamata; Teiidae.